RNAcentral lists this ribosomal RNA (679 nucleotides) under uncultured bacterium. RNAcentral's name for it is "bacterial SSU rRNA". It matches the Rfam family "Bacterial small subunit ribosomal RNA", at positions 90 to 767 of the family's 1533-position model. The record is from RNAcentral.
AGAGACCGGCGCACGGGUGCGUAACGCGUAUGCAAUCUACCUUUUACAGAGGGAUAGCCCAGAGAAAUUUGGAUUAAUACCUCAUAGUAUUAUUGAAUGGCAUCAUUUAAUAAUUAAAGUCACAACGGUAAAAGAUGAGCAUGCGUCCCAUUAGCUAGUUGGUAAGGUAACGGCUUACCAAGGCAACGAUGGGUAGGGGUCCUGAGAGGGAGAUCCCCCACACUGGUACUGAGACACGGACCAGACUCCUACGGGAGGCAGCAGUGAGGAAUAUUGGUCAAUGGGCGCAAGCCUGAACCGGCCAUGCCGCGUGCAGGAUGAAGCAUCUAUGGUGUGUAAACUGCUUUUGUACGAGAAGAAACACUCCUACGUGUAGGAGCUUGACGGUAUCGUAAGAAUAAGGACCGGCUAACUCCGUGCCAGCAGCCGCGGUAAUACGGAGGGUCCAAGCGUUAUCCGGAAUCAUUGGGUUUAAAGGGUCCGUAGGCGGUUUUGUAAGUCAGUGGUGAAAGCCCAUCGCUCAACGGUGGAACGGCCAUUGAUACUGCAAGACUUGAAUUAUUGGGAAGUAACUAGAAUAUGUAGUGUAGCGGUGAAAUGCUUAGAGAUUACAUGGAAUACCAAUUGCGAAGGCAGGUUACUACCAAUAUAUUGACGCUGAUGGACGAAAGCGUGGGGA